Molecule: ribosomal RNA, 2420 nt
Filed under: bioreactor sludge metagenome
Description: bacterial LSU rRNA
Rfam family: Bacterial large subunit ribosomal RNA
Source: RNAcentral
UCAAGCUACGAAGGGCACAAGGUGAAUGCCUUGGCGCCAGAGGGCGAUGAAGGACGCAGCAAGCUGCGAUAAGCCACGGGGAGCCGCAAGCAGGCAUCGAUCCGUGGGUUUCCGAAUGGGGCAACCCAGUCCCGGUUAUGCGGGAUUACCGGCGGAUGAAUUCAUAGUCCGCCGGGGCGAGACGAGGUGAAGUGAAACAUCUCAGUAACCUCAGGAAAAGAAAACGAAGUGAUUCCGCAAGUAGUGGCGAGCGAAAGCGGAACAGCCCAAACCGGGAGGACUUGUCCUCCCGGGGUAGCGGGACCCCGAUAUGGCAAGACUGAAGCUAGCGUAACGGCCUGGAAAGGCCGGCCAGAGACCGUGACAGCCGGGUGCGCGAAAGCCGAGGAAAGCCUAGGGGUAUCCCAAGUAGUGCGGUGCACGUGAAACUCCGCGCGAAUCCGUCCCGACCACGGGAUAAGGCUAAAUACUUCCUGGCGACCGAUAGUGGACUAGUACCGCGAGGGAAAGGUGAAAAGAACCCCUGUUAGGGGAGUGAAAUAGAACCUGCAACCCUGUGCCUACAAUGUGUUGGAGUCCCGCGCAAGCGGGAUGACAGCCUGCCUUUUGCAUAAUGAGUCUGCGAGUUAUUGUCGGUGGCCGCCGUAGCCCCUCAGGGGCCGUGGCCAAGCGAAAGCGAGUGCGAACAGCGCGACCCGGUCGCCGGCAAUAGACCCGAAGCGGAGGUGAUCUACUCAUGACCAGGUUGAAGCUGGGGUAACACCCAGUGGAGGACCGAACUCGUGGAUGUUGAAAAAUCCUGAGAUGAGUUGUGGGUAGGAGCGAAAGACUAAUCAAACCCCGUGAUAGCUGGUUCUCUCCGAAAUAGCUUGAGGGCUAGCGUCGGGCAAGUACUCCGAGGAGGUAGAGCACUGGAUGGCUUAGGGUCCCCACCAGGAUGCCAAAACCAAUCAAACUCCGAAUUCCUCGGAUCCCAUUAACCCGGCAGUCAGACGGCGAGGGAUAAGCUUCGUCGUCAAGAGGAUAACAGUCCAGACCGCCUGCUAAGGCGCCCAAAUACCGUUAAGUGGAAAGGAUGUGACGUCGCUGAGACAGUGAGGAUGUUGGCUUAGAGGCAGCCAUCAUUUAAACAGUGCGUAACAGCUGACUCAUCGAGCGAUGUCGCGCCGAAAAUGAUUGGCGAUAAGCGGUAUGCCGAAGCAGCGGGUGCGCGGGGACCACGGUUCCCGCGCGCGGUAGGAGAGCGUUGCCGUCCCGGCGAAGCCGUUCCGGAAGGAAUGGUGGAGGGGCGGCGAGUGAGAAUGCAGACACGAGUAGCGAUAAACCGGAUGAGAAUUCCGGUCGCCGUAAACCCAAGGUUUCCUGGGGCAGGUUCGUCCUCCCAGGGUUAGUCGGGAGCUAAGGUGAGGCCGUAAGGCGUAACCGAUGCACAGCAGGUCAACAUUCCUGCACCGGCAGGGGAUUAGGCGACGGGUGACGCAGAGAGAAAAGUGCCUAGGUCAUUGAAAGACCGAGCCGAGGCUUCGGCCGAAGCGCAGCACCGGACAAUCUGCCAAGAAAAGCCCGUCAACGUUCCCCGGCCGCCCGUACCGUAAACCGACACAGGUGGGUGGGUGUAAGUGCACCAAGGCGCGCGAGAGAAACCUCUCUAAGGAACUCGGCACAUUAGCCCCGUAACUUCGGGAGAAGGGGUGCCCACUUCGGUGGGUCUCAGUAAAUUGCGUUUAGCGACUGUUUAACAAAAACACAGCACUCUGCCAAGUCGUGAAGACGACGUAUAGGGUGUGACACGUGACCAAUGCGGAAAGAUCAAGGUGAGCCGUCAGCCGCAAGGUGAAGCGGUGAGCCCAAGUCCCCGUGAAUGUCGGCCGUAACUAUAACGGUCCUAAGGUAGCGAAAUUCCUUGUCGGGUAAGUUCCGACCUGCACGAAUCGUGUAACGACUGAACGACUGUCUCGGAGAGGAUCUCGGCGAAACUGUAAUUGCGGUGAAGAUGCCGCAUGCCCGCAGUAGGACGGAAAGACCCUAUGCACCUUCACUGUAAGCUGGCAUUGGGUUCUGGUUAAUGAUGCGUAGCGUAGGUGGGAGACUUUGAACCGCAGGCUCCGGUUUGCGGGGAGUCGCAAUGUGAAACACCACUCUUUGUUAAACAGAAUUCUAACCCCGACCUGUCAUCCAGGCGGGGGACAGUGCUUGCCGGUCAGUUUGGCUGGGGCGGCUUCCUCCAAAAUGGUAACGGAGGAGCGCGAAGCUUGGCUCAGCACGGUUGGCAACCGUGCGACGAGGGUAUGGCUAGAAGCCAGGUUAACUGUGAGACCAACAAGUCGAGCAGGUGCGAAAGCAGGCCCAAAUGAUCCGAUGGUUUAAUGUGGAAUUGCCAUCGCUCAACGGACAAAAGGUACGCUAGGGAUAACAGGCUG